This 253-nucleotide ribosomal RNA is filed under the name uncultured bacterium. Its description in RNAcentral is "partial 16S ribosomal RNA". It matches the Rfam family "Bacterial small subunit ribosomal RNA", at positions 524 to 776 of the family's 1533-position model. The record is from RNAcentral.
UACGUAGGCAGCAAGCGUUGUUCGGAGUUACUGGGCGUAAAGAGUGUGUAGGCGGUGUUCCCAGUCUGUUGUGAAAUCUCCCGGCUUAACUGGGAGGGUGCAGCGGAAACUAGAAUGCUAGAGGGUGGGAGAGGUAAGCGGAAUUCCUGGUGUAGCGGUGAAAUGCGCAGAUAUCAGGAGGAACACCAAUGGCGAAGGCAGCUCGCUGGGACGUGACUGACGCUGAGACGCGAAAGCGUGGGGAGCAAACAGG